RNAcentral lists this long non-coding RNA (3592 nucleotides) under Mus musculus (house mouse). RNAcentral's name for it is "predicted gene, 36117, transcript variant 2 (Gm36117)". Lineage: Eukaryota; Metazoa; Chordata; Mammalia; Rodentia; Muridae. The record is from RNAcentral.
AUCAUGCUUACUGAGGUCCUACUAAUCAUGCUUACUGAGGUCCUACUAAUCAUGCUUACUGAGGUCCUACUAAUCAUGCUUACUGGGGUCCUACUAAUCAUGCUUCUCCUGCUUUUGUUUUCUUCUGGGGAAUGAGGCCUGUGUUCACUCUGCUCUUUCUAAGCUGUGGAGAGAAAGGGAGAAAAAGGCUUGCAGACCCAACCUCCAAUACCACAGAAGUCUUUGGUCCCAGUCAAAGCUCUUUGGAGGAAAAAGCCUUUGGAAGUCGUGAUUCUGGAAGCUGUCCAAGGUGAUAGCCAGGAAGCCACAUUGGCCUUGGCCAGUGGUUAGGGAGGAAUCUUCAGUCCCUCCCAGGAUCUGUGACUGUCAUUACUGCUGACAUGAGCUGACUUCAUCGCCCUGCUGGGCCACCAACAGCUCUGCUUCGGACUUACCAAAUCUAGACCCAGCAUGCAGGACCAGUCUCUUCCAGCAGCCCCCAGCAAGGGCGCCAUGGCGGCCACCUACUUUGCUCUGAACAGGACCCCACAGGCACCGAGGCUAGAGCCUGUGCUCUCAUCUAGCUUGGCCCAACGCAGAGGCAUGAAGAGACUCACGUCUACCAGGUUGUAGUGGCCAGCCAAGUCUCCAGCCUCAGUCGCCCUGCCCAACGUCCUCUCAGCCUCACAGACGCCAGACACAGGUCCUGUUCAUGGGCACUUGAGUGCCCAUGAGUCCAGCACAAAGAUGGAUCUGGCCUUGGCUAUCUCUCUGUUUCCUUUGCAGCCCUAGAAAGGGUCCUGCCCAGGAUGUCUGAGCCUUGCUGCGCCGACCUCUCCGCCCGCUCUCUCUCUCCUCCUGAGUGAAACCAAAUGAAUCUGUCACCUCAUAGCACCCUGCUGGGGCCUCCCUGGGCUCACUCAGGGCUCUCAGUGUCUCCAUGUCAUGGCUUAUGCCCAAAGCAGAGCUCUUUUACCAUCCUGAUGUCACCUACGUGUCCCACUGUCUCUCUGAGAGUGUUAGUGCACAGUCCCUGCCUGGAGACAGCAGAGCCACUUUCGAAGAGCUGGAUGUUUCUGGAUGUUCUGGCAAUGCCAGUGGCCCUGUGAAAGCAUCCAGCUUAGAUGCCUGACUCUGUCCACAAUCACCCAAAGAGUGCCUCUCACCACCCUCCUGCUCUCAAGCAAGAUGCUGGGUAGCUUCUCCCUGACUCUGUCACUGACUUGGCAGGAUGAAAGCAACCAACCCAAGAGUCUAGAUGGGUAGAGUCUAUUUGAGAGCGUGAUUUCUGUUGGUUGAGACAGGAGCCCCAGGAAAUUGCCGGGCAGAGCCAGUACCCACUACACUGCUGCCCCCUUAACCCUGUGGCCCCAGGGACACUGGAGAGAGUGGGGCUCUGCCAUUGCUGGGUGUGUUGGCAUCUCUGCUCAUAUUUGCCUGCUGUGGUAUAGCAUAUUCACUCUCUCUCUGCUUUCCUGGGCCACAGAGAAUGUCUUCUCCUCUACCCCUCUAUCCCUUCUUGACUGAGGACAGGAGAGACACCUGAGCCCCUUGCCUUAGACAGGCAGAAGGUGCCUGGACAAGUUGUCAGUGGGAGUGAUGCUCUUCUUAGAAGCUGUGGUCCUAUGUUGCAUCUUGUGUUUCUGUUGUCUAACCUGUUUUCAGGCUGUAGUCUGCGCAGGGAGCAGUAGUUACACGGACCAGGCUAUCUGUGGCAUACUCUUCAUGCAGAGUAACCGAGUGAGACCCUUCCCCCGUGGCGUGCUCCACUCCUCCUGGUCGGAGAGGAGGGACUUGUGUGUCCUGAAGUCUCUCUGGAGGCUGCUGAGGAUAGUGGACUCAGGUCAGAAGACACUCCACUGUGGCUCAGAACCUGCCAGUCUGAGAAGCAGCCCCUCUGCCCAGUAGAGGCACCUGUAGGAGGCGCCUGUUGGCCACAGCAGGCUUACACUAGGAAGACCACAGGUGGACCACGGCUGCUUCUGCAAUGCCUGCCCCAGUGGAAUGUUCAGAACAUAAUUCCUUUGCUCAGUCUAAUUAUUUCAGACCUCAAAACGUAAACGUAUUUCUGAAGCUUUAAUUACUCCACUGGACUCUGUUCUGUUUGAGAAUUAUAAAAUACAGAGUGGGGAUAGACUGUGUGCCAUUUCCAGUGUCCCUGGGGAUGGUCUCCUGCUUUCUCAGUGAAUGCUCUGCCCAAGGCUGAGAUCAUCUCCCAGUUAAUGUUCUGGGCCUGAAUCCUUCCGAUUCUUGAUAGAAAUCCAGAGGGAAAGUAUAGUGGGUAGUCUUAGUGACAGAUUCUGUCCUCUGGGAAAUGAACAGGAGCUCUGGCACCCUCCGAGGGCCUCUCUGGCAUGCACCCUUGCUCCAGCUGCUCACGGCUCAGGCUGGGUUUGCUUGCAGCUUCAAGUGUACAUGUUCUAAUGAAAAGAAAGAACAACAGAACACAGAAGGCAUGGCUGAGGAGGCGAGCAUAACCUGUCCCCUUCAUGGUCAUGUGGCCGCAUCACCUCUUUCAGUAAUGUGAGGUUACCUGCUUUACACUCAGCCUACUCUCGCCAAAGGGAUGGAGGAGACCAUCAGUCAAACCAAACGCAUCCUCUGGAUGUGUCUGGAAGGAUGCUCAGCCUUGCCCUGCAGAGAGUGGAGUACCCCACAUUCCCACCUCACCCAGUACUUGAUACUUGAAAUCUCUUGUGGAGUCAGUCAGAGGAGCACGUGACAGGAUCGUUUUAAUCCCUGUUCUUUAAAGUCUUCAGUGCCACAGCAGUCUGCUGUGGCAUGUAACCCCGUGUCCCCGGUGUUUACCUGGCCUGUGACCCUUUACCCAACACGAGGAAAGGCUCUGUAUUCUCUACACAAAUGACUACUUGUGUAGCUACAGAAUUUGUCAUGGGAAAGCCCAGCCUACAUCCUGGAACUCCUUUACCCAUCCCCAGAGCUACUUUUGGGCUAUCCCACUGCAGCUCCUGCCCUGUUUGGGCUGAGAACAUGAUGAGCGCUCCACUGAAGGAGGUGGGGAUGGGGUGCUUGUCAGAUUCUGUACCCCAGAGUCAAUGGCAGGCAAGCCGUGAACGUCCCCUGUCCUAUGGUUGGAACGUGUGUGAUUUUGAACUACCUGUGUGCACUGGUCUUUGGAUAUUGUUUGGCUUUUUAAGUGAGGAUCGUCCUGAUGGUAUCUAAUGUCAGCAGUAUUCCUGAUUAAAUGGUGUUCUUCCUUAAGAUGCCCGUUGGGAUUUCCCCUGCAUUGUACCGCUUCUCUCAAGCAUAGGAGGAGAUACACCGUGACUCUUCAUUCUCUCUGGCACAUUUUGCUGCCCUUCACCACCCGCAAGACUGUGAGACACCUGGAGUGGGAAAGGUCUCUGGGGUCCCUCUGUGGCAGGGACAGGUGGAAGGGGAAGCCAGCAUGGCUCGUCUGUGCAGGUGAAAGGCACCACCCCACUCCCAGCCUGCGCUGCGUUUACAUGAUCAGCAGUUCCGUUUACAGCUCACUCCAUGUUCACACUUUCUGGCUGUGUGUUGAGACGGCGGCCACUGUACAGAUAUUUAUUAUGCUUUCCAAACUUUCCCAUGAGAUUUUUUGAAUAAACAUGGAUUUUAUGAAGUGUAA